Long non-coding RNA from Alosa sapidissima (American shad), 1329 nucleotides. RefSeq lists it as uncharacterized. Lineage: Eukaryota; Metazoa; Chordata; Actinopteri; Clupeiformes; Clupeidae. The transcript has 2 exons. The record is from RefSeq and is a predicted model, not a curated record.
UUUUUAACAAAUGCUGUCAGUACUCUAUUGGCAAAAUCAAUCAUGGGUGCAGAGAGGUUGGGACUGAGUAAUAAAAACACACCCACAGAGAACCAAGAAGUUUUCAAAAAUCUCUUGUGGAAGAAUGCACUUCAGAACCACAGGCCCACUGUAAACCAUGAAUUGCCUUAGCUCUGUGGCCUUCCAUCUGUAUUUCUGUAAAUACAGGCGAUGCAACUUGCCAUUAUGUUAGUUAGCAAGUUAGCUCUGGUGUAGCAAAAAUCAAAGUUUGCAGCACUCGCGUAUCGGAGAUCACAGUAUCCGCUCGAAGGCAGAGGACAAGUGUUUAGAGCAAACGUUUGCAUUUCUGAUUUUGUCAUCGCCGUGAGUUCAACAGGUGGGAUAAUCCCAAAUCCCUAUGUAAUUUUCAGUUAGUGAUCACUGUUGAUCUUGCAACAUGUACACCGACCGUGACUUUGGUGUGUAGGCCAAAUAUGUUUCUCAUGGUUCUCUUUUUCACACACUCAAAACUAUUGUUCUUUUUCAAGUGUUCCAUUCAUUCACCUCUUUAUCAGAUGGCACAGGUGUGGAAGGUUGUAGAAUUCCGGGACAAAGUCACUGCCAUAGUGCCAUGUAGUUGGUUGGAGGAGGCAGGCAAUUUUUGGAACUGUUACUGGCCUGGCUCCUAUGACCACUGGCGGCUCCAAAAAUCAGUUUUAAACCACCUUCCACCAGGUCAAAACUGGGAUGUUUUUGAUGACGUGAGGGUCUUGGUAGGCUGUGGUAAGGAAACAUACUGCAUUAUUACUGCAGUUCCUAUGAGCACUGGCUGUUAUUUUCCCAUAGGAAAAAUCUCAAGAUCUCUAAGCAGCUCUGGAUGGUAUGCUGUCAAUAUUAUUAAUGCUAGAACUUUUGAAAAUGGGUAAACCAUCAAUGUUAAAUUGCAAUCGAAUUGUCUGAAGGCAACUAGGUAGGUGGAUUGAAUUCAAUUUGGACAAAAUUGAAUCCAAUCCAAAGCCAAUCCAAAAUGAUGAUAUUCACCCCCACCUAAUGUUCCCACAGCAAUAUUGACAAGAGCAGUAACUGUAACGAGAUUAAUUUCAAAAGUCGUUGCCCAUUGCUUAAGUUUAUCUCGUAGACUCAUCUCCCCAGACUCACUUUCAUCAGAGCUGGAUGAUUCACUAAAAUCUUCUGUCUGUACUGUCACUGACACAACUGUUUGUACUGUGUUGACGAGGUCUGUUCGCAUAGUCUAAAGCUGCCUCACAAAGUGGUAGAUGUGAUGAGCUUUCACUAAGGGGGACCUUUUCGGCCUGACUAAUUGUCACAUUAAAUUGCUGCAAAAUCUCA